GUUUCAUUGCAGUCCAAGGAGAGGCAUGUAAAUCCUGCCCCCUUUGAGCAAGCAAAAGUCUCCGGAGAAAACAAAUCUGCCGAGGUUCAUGGCCCUCUUGGCGGUGCGUGGAGGGUCAGGAAAGAGAAGGAGGAAGAGUGCACUCCUGCAAGAUCAAAGACUUGUUUCUAUUGUGGAAUCUGUACAAUGGAGAACUGCUAAAAUACCUCCUCUGCUGCCCUAGACCCCUCCUGGUCCCCUAGAAGGAAACUGACAAUAUAUCUGUGAGAGAACUGAAGGGAUUUUAAUAGAAGUACACUCUUACAAAUCAGGUCAUAAGUUCAUAAGACCUGAUUAUAGAGUUCCAUCAGGAGAUGAAAUUUUAACAGUGUCCCUUAUACCUCUAUUAUAAGUUUGUUUUCAAGUGAAACCCACUUUUUUGGUCACUUGGUGGCAGCAGAACAAACUUAUAAAAAAAGCUGUUGUCACGGCAAUGUUUCUGUCAACCAACAAGAAAAAAAGGAGUGAAACCCAAAUGCAGUCGAUCUUAUCUGUUUUUAAAUCUUCAGCAACCACAAAUGUUAUGUCAGCCUUUAUGGUUUUUAGUUGGAUUUGCUUGGAUGUACUCAGCAGGUAGCAUUUCUGCAGGUUUGUGGAGCAAACAGCUGCUUACUGCAGGUGGAAAAACUGUUUCAAGAGCAGUUCCGGUUAACCAACGCAGGUUAAAAAUGGAAAACGUUCACUUAUUCUUACAUGAUAUCAAAACUGCCAUCUGAUCUGCACAGGUAUUUUUUGUGGUGACAUUGCAGCAUACAGAAUAAUUGUAUAAAGCAAUGAAUGUGUAGCCAUAUAAUGUACCGAUGCAAAAUUUCUAUAUUUCUUCUGUUUUUCUAAAUCCAGUACAUAACGACAGUGUCGUGUUAAAGUAUUCACAUCCCUUGAACAUGUUGUCACUUUAAAAUCACAAACUUGAAUGAAUUUCAUUGGGAUUUCAUGUGAAACAAAGUAGUGCAUGAUUAGGAAGAGGACGUAAAGUAAGACAUGGUUAUCUAAAACGAUUUAAAAAUAAAAUCUGAAAAGUG
Molecule: long non-coding RNA, 1061 nt
Organism: Girardinichthys multiradiatus
Lineage: Eukaryota; Metazoa; Chordata; Actinopteri; Cyprinodontiformes; Goodeidae
Exons: 2
Source: RefSeq, a predicted model, not a curated record